CGUGUGUUGAUCCGAAUGAAAGGUUUGAGACAUGGAAUAGUACUAAUGGAAAGAUUGGAGACUCCUGAAAGCAUUUUCCAAAGUAUAUAGAAUCUACGAAGAACGGAUACUUUUGUCCGAAGUGAUUACAAGCAAAGAUAAAUUCCUGUAAAAUUCGUUAAUGGGCUUGGCCCUUUAGGGUUCUUCGUUGCUAGUUCUGAUUUUCAUUAUGGAUAUGUUUUGUCUCCUAAACUGAUCAACUAUUACAUAUAUCAUCUUCAAUUCUUUGUUUUUUCCGGGUUCUUCCAAUAAAGAUUAUUUAUCAAAUUUGAAGAAAGGGUUUCGGCUGGAGAAGGAUUGAAACCAUGAAAAGGAAGGUCAGAGUUUCAUACUCAGAUCCUGAUGCCACUGAUUCUUCAUCGGACGAAGGUGGUGAUGGAACCGCAAAAAAAUCGAAGAGGAUGGUUCAUGAGAUUGUACUUCAGCCGGAAAAAAUUCUUGACAAGAAGGGUUCUGGAAAAAUUCAUGCACGAAUUAAGAAAUUGAAUUCGAGGGUUCUUGAUCAUAACGGGAUGAAAAAAUUAAUUGGGGUGCGGAGGAGAAGAUGGGGAAAAUACUGUGCUGAGAUCAGAGAUCCUUUCAAGAAGAAAAGAGUUUGGUUGGGGACUUACAACUCUGCUGAAGAGGCCUCCAAUGCUUACCUGGACAAGAAGCGUGAAUUUGUGGAAAAACAGAGUGCUGGGCAGGGAAUUGAUUGUGUUCCUUGUGAGAAUUCCUCUGAAGAUUCUUCACCUACGGUUAUCGAAUUUGAUACCCCGGAUUCUCCAAAUGAAGUGAGCAUGAUAAAAAAGGAUGUUUUUGAGGAAACCAAGGUUGGUUCAAAUGCGGAACAGAAUAGUUCACUUUCAGACGGACAGACUGUCAAGUUUGGGAUGCUGUAUGGUGUGCAAAUUAUUAACAAUCAUGGAUUUCUCUUGGGUGAAUUCAGCAAGUUAGAUGACUUUAGCAUUCGUGUAUCGGAAUAAGACUCAGCUUUCAUGUAUCCCAAUAAGACUAUUUUCCUAAAUAUGUUUUUCUGAUUAAUGUUGUUAUGUCAUCAAUGUUUUGUUCAUUCUUAGUAUCUUAUUUGUUAUAGCUUUUUAUUUUCAAACAUUGGAAUAGCAAUAUUCAUUGUAGGUUUGUAGUACUUGCCUUUGGAGUAGUCAGUUCGGUAUAUAUAUAAAGACCUUGAAUAAAAGUUUUAAUGAGUGAUUUUAGUAAGUAAAUUCAGUUGGAAAUCUUGGCAAGGGAACUCGACAAUAGAAAAAGCAACUUAUAGUACGUAUAAGUUUAAAAUAAGGAGGGUUUCAAUUCCAUUCAGUUACUUCUGUUUUUUGUUCAAUUCAUCCUUUUUUCCAGUUGUGCAUGCAAUGCGUGGUUAUUUUAUGCAGUAAACUUCUCAAGUUCCAGUGCAUUGAAUUCAUUGAAAAGGUAGCUCAAUACGAGCUGUGUGUGCUGAGAUUAUCUGGACUUGGAGUGGAAUGUACAUAUAUGGAUGAAUAAUUAUUUCUGUAAUAAUUUUCUUAAACUUGUUUUCCUAUGCUUCGGUUUUUCAUCUUCUUGAUGGAAGCAAAUAGUUGAAAGUAUGUUAAAGGCUCUUGAAGGCAGACGAGGUGAAUGCAUGAGGAGCUACGAAGUUUGAAACUAAAGUGCUAGUCUAGAUGAUAAAAAAGGUACUUUAAAGUUAAAACUCAACAGAAUUAACAUGUCAUUUUAGCCUUGUGUCUCCCUCAUGGUAUUUAUUGCAAGUGAAACUUUCCUGUUUCAUGAUGUCAUUCUUGAUCUGCCUACAAUAGAACCAAAUUAACUAACCCUGUUUUAACUUCUUCUCUUCCGAAGGUUUAUAUUAAUUAAAUGCUUACGUGAAUACUCAAGAAGAUAUCUGUAAUAGACCAUAUUCUCAACUUGCUACAUGUAUAGCAGUAAGGGUUGGCUAUAUCUUAACUUACUUGUGUCUUUUGGUGCUCGAAAAAAAUAAAAAUCUCCUUCCUAGAAUAAUUGACAAAUAUAAUGCAGUCCAAUAGUCAUUUUUCCUCAAAUACGUGCAUUAUGAAUUACUUUAUCUGAAGAAAAACUAGUUUGCUUGGGCACUUGCAACGCUGCUGAAGAUGCCUCCAAGGUGCAUUUGGCAAGAAGCUUGAGAUUGAGUGCCAAGAGGGCAAUUAAUUAUUUCCCUCUUUCCUUCUUAUCACAUUACUGUCUAAUUUACAUGCUUGUUUUGUUGUGAUCGGUUAUCUUUGAUCUAUGGUACUUCUAAAAAUAAGAUCUCCUUCCUAAACGUCGUACGUGGAUAGCAGUGAGGUCUUGGAUCGAAAGAGCGUAACUUCUCCUUCCUAAAAUAAGUGUUGGUAUAUAAUGCAUUCCUACAGUCAUUUUCCCCCCAAAUGGAUACAAUUAUGAACUACAUCAAAAACAAAAAGAUGGAUAAGGGAAAUUCUUUCUUUGCAGUCGAAGCAAAGGAAACCCCGUGAUUUUAACUAAUGUUGCUUUUCAUUGAUUAAGAUGGAACAUCUAACUGCCAAAUGGUCUUGUACAGUUCUCCUUACGGUAUUAUUCUUAAUUGGAUAAGCUGCUCUAAAUUCUGUCUUUCACACGCUCAGAUUGAAACUAGUUCAUUGGUUUCUGAAGGAGAAAAUAUAAGGUCAUAUGUCGAGCCUCUCAGUUUCUUGUUUCUUCCUUUUACAAAAUGGCAACUUUGUGGGCAGUGUCUUUUGGCAUAGAAUUUGGUAGCUCAGCAUGCUUUAGAAAAAGAAGUCGAAUUAGAGCUACAAUUUAGGGGUGUAUACAAUGAUUUCUCUCUCUCGCUCUCUCUCUCUCUUCCUUAUAUGAGCUAUUGUUCUUGUCCUGAAACAGUUUUGAACAAGUUUCUUUUAGAGUGAUGGAGCUUGGAGUUACUUUUCGUGGUAUAGCACAAAAGGAAAUACAGAAUAGUUAAUAGCGUUGUUCAUCUCUUUUUGUUACUGGUGCUGGAGAUAUGGCUUUGAAGAAGAAAUUGAACCAGAUUUCCAUAAGCUAUUGUUACUAUGUCGAAGAAAUUUUGCUGCUUGAUGUCAAGAAAAGAAGUAGAAUUCCUGUUGUAUAAGCUGCUUUUUGCUAUAAGGAAGAAAUUGAACUACUUUAGUCAAAUGCAUUAUUGAUUUAGUUAGAACUAAUGAAGAAAUUGUAUGCACUGCUUCGUAAUAUUAGUCCUCAUUAAGCCAUU
This 3220-nucleotide long non-coding RNA is filed under the name Olea europaea subsp. europaea. The record is from RNAcentral. Lineage: Eukaryota; Viridiplantae; Streptophyta; Magnoliopsida; Lamiales; Oleaceae.